GAUUAAGUAGUGCAGUAGUUAGCACGUCGUACUAUCAUCUCUUGGUAUUGAGCAUCGAGUUAUAGAUGUUCGAUACUAAGAGAGAUGCGGAGACCUGGGUUCGACUCCCAGCUUAACCA
RNAcentral lists this transfer RNA (119 nucleotides) under Neophaeococcomyces mojaviensis. Its description in RNAcentral is "tRNA-Asp". It matches the Rfam family "tRNA". Rfam says of the family: Transfer RNA (tRNA) molecules are approximately 80 nucleotides in length. Their secondary structure includes four short double-helical elements and three loops (D, anti-codon, and T loops). Further hydrogen bonds mediate the characteristic L-shaped molecular structure. tRNAs have two regions of fundamental functional importance: the anti-codon, which is responsible for specific mRNA codon recognition, and the 3' end, to which the tRNAs corresponding amino acid is attached (by aminoacyl-tRNA synthetases). tRNAs cope with the degeneracy of the genetic code in two manners: having more than one tRNA (with a specific anti-codon) for a particular amino acid; and 'wobble' base-pairing, i.e. permitting non-standard base-pairing at the 3rd anti-codon position. Lineage: Eukaryota; Fungi; Ascomycota; Eurotiomycetes; Chaetothyriales. The record is from RNAcentral.